This 260-nucleotide ribosomal RNA is filed under the name uncultured Planctomycetota bacterium. Its description in RNAcentral is "uncultured planctomycete partial 16S ribosomal RNA". It matches the Rfam family "Bacterial small subunit ribosomal RNA", at positions 927 to 1181 of the family's 1533-position model. The record is from RNAcentral. Lineage: Bacteria; Pseudomonadati; Planctomycetota.
AAGCGGUGGAGUAUGUGGCUUAAUUCGAGGCUACGCGCAGAACCUUAUCCCGGGCUUGACAUGCACGGAUUAGCCGGCGGAAACGCCGGCGAGGCCGCAAGGUACAACGUGCACAGGUGCUGCAUGGCUGUCGUCAGCUCGUGCCGUGAGGUGUUGGGUUAAGUCCCGUAACGAGCGAAACCCCUGUGUCUAGUUACCAGCACGUCGUGGUGGGAACUCUAGACAGACCGCCGGCGUCAAGCCGGAGGAAGGUGGGGAUG